CCUACGGGUGGCAGCAGUGAGGAAUAUUGGUCAAUGGGCGAGAGCCUGAACCAGCCAAGUCGCGUGAGGGAGUACUGCCCUAUGGGUUGUAAACCUCUUUUGUCGGGGAGCAAAAGCCGGACGUGUCCGGCUGUGAGAGUACCCGAAGAAAAAGCAUCGGCUAACUCCGGGCCAGCAGCCGCGGUAAUACGGAGGAUGCGAGCGUUAUCCGGAUUUAUUGGGUUUAAAGGGUGCGCAGGCGGAUUUUUAAGUCAGCGGUAAAAUCGUGGGGCUCAACCCCAUCCAGCCGUUGAAACUGGGGAUCUAGAGUGUGCGAGAGGUAUGCGGAAGGCGUGGUGUAGCGGUGAAAUGCAUAGAUAUCACGCAGAACCCCGAUUGCGAAGGCAGCAUACCGGUGCACAACUGACGCUCAGGCACGAAAGCGUGGGUAUCGAACAGGAUUAGAUACCCCAGUAGUC
RNAcentral lists this ribosomal RNA (458 nucleotides) under uncultured bacterium. RNAcentral's name for it is "partial 16S ribosomal RNA". It matches the Rfam family "Bacterial small subunit ribosomal RNA", at positions 338 to 795 of the family's 1533-position model. The record is from RNAcentral.